Non-coding RNA from Acanthosepion pharaonis, 115 nucleotides. NCBI's taxonomy places the organism in Eukaryota, Metazoa, Mollusca, Cephalopoda, Sepiida, Sepiidae. The record is from the annotation of a GenBank genome assembly.
UUAUGGCCAUAUCACGCUGAAACACCGGUUCUCGUACGAUCACUGAAGUUAAGCAACGUCAAACCUGGUUAGUACCUUAGAGGGGUGACCGCUUGGAAAUACCGGGUGCUGUAAU